UGGGGAAUUUUGCACAAUGGGCGAAAGCCUGAUGCAGCAACGCCGCGUGUGCGAUGAAGGUCUUCGGAUUGUAAAGCACUUUCGACCGGGACGAAAAUCGGAUGGCUAACAUCCAUCCGCCUGACGGUACCGGGAGAAGAGGCACCGGCUAACUCUGUGCCAGCAGCCGCGGUAAUACAGAGGGUGCAAGCGUUGUUCGGAAUUAUUGGGCGUAAAGCGCGUGUAGGCGGCUUUGCAAGUCGGGUGUGAAAUCCCUCAGCUCAACUGAGGAAGUGCGCCCGAAACUGCUUAGCUUGAGUGCCGGAGAGGAUGGCGGAAUUCCCCAAGUAGAGGUGAAAUUCGUAGAUAUGGGGAGGAGCACCGGUGGCGAAGGCGGCCAUCUGGACGGUAACUGACGCUGAGACGCGAAAGCGUGGGUAGCAAACAGGAUUAGAUACCCUGGUAGUCCACGCCGUAAACGAUGAGAACUAGGUGUCGUGGGUGUUGACCCCCGC
This 494-nucleotide ribosomal RNA is filed under the name uncultured Pseudomonadota bacterium. RNAcentral's name for it is "bacterial SSU rRNA". It matches the Rfam family "Bacterial small subunit ribosomal RNA", at positions 355 to 841 of the family's 1533-position model. Lineage: Bacteria; Pseudomonadati; Pseudomonadota. The record is from RNAcentral.